This 440-nucleotide ribosomal RNA is filed under the name uncultured bacterium. RNAcentral describes it as "partial 16S ribosomal RNA". It matches the Rfam family "Bacterial small subunit ribosomal RNA", at positions 338 to 795 of the family's 1533-position model. The record is from RNAcentral.
CCUACGGGAGGCAGCAGUGGGGAAUAUUGCACAAUGGGGGAAACCCUGAUGCAGCAAUGCCGCGUGAAGGAAGAAGCACUUCGGUGUGUAAAGCUCUAUCAGCAGGGAAGAAAAUGACAGUACCUGAACAAGAAGCCCCGGCUAACUACGUGCCAGCAGCCGCGGUAAUACGUAGGGGGCAAGCGUUAUCCGGAUUUACUGGGUGUAAAGGGAGCGUAGGCGGUUUGGCAAGUCAGAGGUGAAAGCCCGGGGCCCAACCCCGGGACUGCAUUUGAAACUGGUAGACUGGAGUGCAGGAGAGGUAAGUGGAAUUCCUAGUGUAGCGGUGAAAUGCGUAGAUAUUAGGAGGAACACCAGUGGCGGAGGCGGCUUACUGGACUGUAAAUGACGCUGAGGCUCGAAAGCGUGGGGAGCAAACAGGAUUAGAUACCCGGGUAGUC